GUAAGGACAAAGUGUUGCAAGUGCGUGAAGCCAGGUUCAAGUCGUGGUUGUGCCAAGAGCAUUUUAAUGCCGGGCGUCGUUGUUAAUUAAUUCCACCCGAGACGAGAAAGAGUUAAGUAGAAUAAAAAAUAAGUUAAAGCAAGUGUAGGCGUGAUGGUCUAGUGGUAAGGACAAAUUGUUGCAAGUGCUUGAAGCCAGGUUCAAGUCGUGGUUGUGCCAAGAGCAUUUUAAUGCCGGGCGUCGUUGUUAAUUAAUUCCACCCGAGACGAGAAAGAGUUAAGUAGAAUAAAAAAGAAGUUAAAGAAGUGUAGGC
Paramuricea clavata is the source of this 313-nucleotide non-coding RNA. NCBI's taxonomy places the organism in Eukaryota, Metazoa, Cnidaria, Anthozoa, Malacalcyonacea, Plexauridae. The record is from the annotation of a GenBank genome assembly.